This is an RNA transcript of Corvus hawaiiensis (hawaiian crow), 4120 nucleotides long. It is a transcript of the gene named leucine rich repeat containing 56, with no coding region annotated. The record is from RefSeq and is a predicted model, not a curated record. The transcript has 16 exons. Lineage: Eukaryota; Metazoa; Chordata; Aves; Passeriformes; Corvidae.
GGGCGACGGGCGGCCGCUGUCGCUCCCUCCGCGCUGCUCUCCCGUUCUCCCCGCAGCCCAGCGGCCCCGGCCCGGCCCGCAGGACAUGGAACAAUUAAAUAACACUAUGAGCACCUGUCAGUCAAGAUAAAUGAAGAUAAGCAGCUGUGACUACUAAAUUAAAAUCUCUGUAGGAGAGGAAUGGCAAAUGAUGCAGAGCAGCAGUGGCAUUGGAAGAAAAGCAUGUUGAGAUGGACCUGAAAUUGAAUCCUGACAGAGUUUCUCAUCUGGGCUCAUCUGCAGACCAGGAGACUGAUUUGAAUUGGCAAGGCAACCCAAAUCCCAUUCCACUGAUUAAAGAUGAUGGAGAGCUGCUUCUGGAUGAACAUCUUUCCCCUAGGAAACUGCAAAUUUUGGCAGGGGUAGAUGAUCUGCAGCAGGUGAAGGCCCUAGAGAUGCGAGUUGACACCAGAGGGAUCAGCUUGGGGAACUUCGGUGUGCAUCUGCCUAACCUGAGAGAACUGAAGUUAAACAAUAGCUUGCUUGUGUCUGUGAGGGAUCUUGGAACCUCAUUGUCCUGUCUCCGUGUCCUGUGGAUGGCUCGGUGUGGGCUCUCAGAUUUAGAUGGGAUCUCUUCCUGCAGCUCUCUGAAAGAACUCUACAUUGCUUAUAACAAUAUCUCCGACCUGAGCCAGCUGACCUGGCUGGAUCACCUUGAGGUUUUGGACCUGGAAGGGAACAAUAUUGAGGACAUCAACCAGAUGCAGUACCUGCAACUUUGUUGCAAGCUAAGCCACCUGACAGUGGAGGGCAACCUUAUUUGCCUGAAACCAAAUGCAGAAUCUGAAGAGGAACCAGAUUAUAAUUACAGAGCGGAAGUAAAAAAACUCAUUCCCCACUUGAAGUAUUUGGACAGAAUACCAGCAAGCCAGACUGAUCACCUUCCUUCCAAGAAGAUACAUGAGGAUUCUCUAAUCAUCAAGGAAUCCAUCAAGGAAGGUGGUUUAGCCAGAGACAUUUCAUGGUUAGAUCCUUAUCUUGGGGCAGUAGCAAAGCAGUCUGGAUGUGGCCCAAAAUCCCCAACAGCUUCCAGACCUGGAAAUGCACAGUGUUCUGCUAACAUAGGGACGUGUAGUGGUGCCAGCCUCCUGUCCAGUAGCUGUCCUCUUCCAGAUCCCGCUGUUUUUCCUGAUAUGCUCUUCACAGAAGAUGACUCCAGUGAUUUGACACAUGGACUCCGUCAAGUUAUAUGUGGGAACCCCGCCAAGGCCCUUCGAGAAAGGAGGCAAAAGCUAGGUCCACCUGCUGUGAGCCCUUUGAAACCGUCUGGCCUGCCGACAGAAAACCUUUGUGGCUCUGGAGGAGGAAGAGAUCUGCACCAGGAAAAGGUGUCCCCCGACCAGACAGCAUGGACGGAGCAGCACAAGGGGUGCCUGCAAACAGGUCUGCAAGAACAAACCAGCCAAGCAUUGAAGGUGACUGAGGGUGAAGACUGGAGCCUGACUGACAGCUCACAAGAUGAGUUGAGGGAGGCCUGUGAUGAGGACCUCAUUGAAAGGAUUUCACUUGAGCCUUCUUCCCACUCCAGUUUCUCCCACUCUUCCUCAGGUUCAUCACAGGCUCAGGAGGGUGCAUUGUUCUCCAACACAAAACGUUAUCUAAUUCCAUCCCCUCCAAAAAACCCUUCACCUGCCUCUGCAAUGGAUGUUGCAACAAGACCCUGGAAAACAAGGAACCACAGAGGCCUAAAAAUACCCACCCAAGAGGAGUACAGGCAGUGUACACAGCAAUGCCAGUCAAAGGCUCAUCAAGAGAAUUCAGCCCAGCUUCUGGACAAAGAACCUGCUCUCCUGGGCCUGCACAGCCUGUCCGCUGCCUCUGGAUCCCAAAGGCAGCACCAGCCUGUUGGCUGCAGCAGCCAGAAAAGGCCUGUUCUAGGACCAGCAGCUGUUGGGUCAUCAAGGAUCAGGCUGCAGCAUCUCCGUGAUACAAACCACAUGGUCAGUGAGUGAAAUCCAGCUGGCAACAAUGAGCUCCAAACACAAAGAUAAGUUCAUGAUAAGCUCCUUGCUGUUGUUUGCUCUCACCUGCCUUGUCAUGAUACCAGGCAGCUAAUCCCCUGUGUUGUUUCCUCGCCUGAGUCAAACGAAACAUGCGGUUUUGUUGGGCUGGGAGGAAAGGAGCAAGGGGAAAGGGCAUGGGGAGGUGACAUCAUGCUGCCCAGCCCUGUCCUGGCUCUCCUGACAGUUUUUCCUUGCCAGUUCCCACCAGUGCAGCACCAGCACUGUUUUUGCUAUCCUGACAGCUACACAGAGGUGUUUUCCCCCUUCUAGCCCAGAGCACCCUUGCCCCCAGUGCAGAGCAUUGCUUUCAUUCUGCCUGCACCAACCCUGGUGUCCAUCGCAGCCCAUUCUGUUUUGAAAGCCCUCCCUUUCCUUGGUAAAACAAUCCAAAUUCCUUUAGCAGCACUUCUCACUGUUUCAGUCCCUACCUGACUGCGUAGCUCUCUUUGAGCAUUGCUUACUUCUACUGAAAAGCAUUACCAGCACAGAGCGUCUAAGGGACCUGUUUUAAACUGUCCAACAAAGCAUUAUUAACCCAUAUCACAGACUAUGAUCAAAAACAUCUUUUCUAUGGAAAUUCUUCUUCUUGUCCAACUGACUAUUCCAGAAAAAACAACUCUCUCUGUCCUCCAUUUGUCCAAAUAAUUAUCCCAUGUCAUGUCAACCGCACUUCUGUUCAAUUUUGUUUUGCAUUGGGUUUUUUUCCCUCCCCACACACCCUUAGGAAGUGAGCGAUUCCUAAGCUCCAUCAGAGAUCAGCAGGUGGUGGGGAGGUGGGAAGAGGCUGAGACUGGAGGAUAGAGAGCCUAAAAGGUCUGUUUUUCUGCUCAAGUGCUCAUGCUUCUGUCCACAGCACCAGGUUUAAAGAAAUGGCCUGGAUGUGUUACCACUGUCCCCAAGUCCCCUCACAGACCCUGAGGUCUUCUUGGCUGCCCAAAGAAGAGGGAAACUCUCAGGUGCUUCUCUUCUGGUGUAAUUAUGACAGGCAAUUUAAAAUCAGCCAAGAGCUGUAUUUGACAGUCUUAUUUGGAACAUAAUGGACUAAUGAUCCCUUCAAUUUAAUUAAGGAUUUUUUCAAAGAAUUACAAAUUAACCUGAAUUAAGAUGAGAGUGUAUACAGCAAGACUUAAUGUAGUUCCACUAAUUUAGAUUGCUGGAUAAAUUAUUUUGGAUUAAUUUUCCAAGAGGACAUGUGACAUUUUUAUUGGUAUAAAAACUAAUCAGAAAUGUAGCAGGUGUUUUGAAAGUGAAAUAGUUUUGCCUUUUAAGGGGUGCAACUCUUGAUAACACAUCUUUUGAGAAUCUGUACUGGUACCUCCUUCCCAGGCAAGAAAAAGCUAUGGCAAUGUAAAGGAUCAUGCUUGCAUUUUACAGGUGUGUGUCUGCAAAUAUAUAUGUGUGUGUGUGUCUGUGCCUGUGUCUAUGUGAAGAAACAAUGACUGGGAAAUUUGUUCCACUUUGAUUACUCCAACAGCUUUAAAUCAGUGUAACAUCUGAAUGGUAGCAAGGCUUGAAGCAGUGGCCAGAAGGUGAUGACAGAAGCAUCUGUGGUGGUUUAUGACAUGUUUAUCCUCCUGUUCCUUCCCCUCUUCCUCCUCUCCCAGCUGCUCAGUACUCUCUGACUGCUCAGGAUUGAUGUAUCCAUAGCAGAGGCAGCGGGAAGCAUUGGGAAACCUCUUCUCAUCCCCAUAGCACACUUGACUGGGUGUAGCUUGGACAGCCAUUGUUCUGAAGUUUCCUCACUGCCCAGCUGGAUCCCUUCAGGAAAACCCCCCCAAGUCACUUCUCUUUGCAGGAGAAACUGCCCUGGAUCCCCCCAUCCAGUGCAGCUGUUGGAACACUGCUUCAAAAGAAUCUACCUAGGCACCUGUACCUACCCCACCUGGUGGAUUGGGAAGAACCCUCUCUGGCUGUGGGGAGUCAAAAUGUACCAGUUCCCACCUCCAGCACCGCAGGAAACCAGAUGAUGGCUGCAUCUUUCACUCAGGCCGACAGAAGAGGCUUCCAGUAAGCGGCAGGGGUGGGGGCAGAGCCCACCCGCACAAAGGCAGCUCCCCACGGGCUCUGUGACCGCUGUC